AAUCAGCUACUACGCAAGCCACCACAACGAUGUCUACGACGGAACCCACCACCUCAAUAGUUGAUCCUAUCACAACGACUCCAUGUACCGACCAAGCACGUAGCUGUGCAUUCUGGGCGAGAGUCGGUGAGUGUGAAAAGAACCCGAAAUACAUGCUCAAGAACUGCAGGCUAAGCUGUGGAGUAUGCAACGAAUUCGGAGAUGACGAGUGAAAUGCAGCACCCUGUCUUAACGGAGCAACUUGUACACCGACAGAG
Long non-coding RNA from Strongylocentrotus purpuratus (purple sea urchin), 257 nucleotides. RefSeq lists it as uncharacterized. Lineage: Eukaryota; Metazoa; Echinodermata; Echinoidea; Camarodonta; Strongylocentrotidae. The record is from RefSeq and is a predicted model, not a curated record. The transcript has 3 exons.